GCUGCCGUAGCUCAACUGGCAGAGCAGCUGAUUUGUAAUCAGCAGGUUGUAGAUUCGAUUUCUAUCGGCAGCUCA
Molecule: transfer RNA, 75 nt
Filed under: Caudoviricetes sp.
Lineage: Duplodnaviria; Heunggongvirae; Uroviricota; Caudoviricetes
Description: tRNA-Thr
Rfam family: tRNA
About the family: Transfer RNA (tRNA) molecules are approximately 80 nucleotides in length. Their secondary structure includes four short double-helical elements and three loops (D, anti-codon, and T loops).
Source: RNAcentral